RNAcentral lists this unclassified non-coding RNA (378 nucleotides) under uncultured Actinomycetes bacterium. Its description in RNAcentral is "uncultured actinobacterium contains 16S-23S intergenic spacer region". Lineage: Bacteria; Bacillati; Actinomycetota; Actinomycetes. The record is from RNAcentral.
UCGCGGCUUAUCACCGGCAGUCCCCCUAGAGUGCCCAACUAAAUGAUGGCAACUAAGGGCGAGGGUUGCGCUCGUUGCGGGACUUAACCCAACAUCUCACGACACGAGCUGACGACAACCAUGCACCACCUGUGAACCGGCCCCAAAGGGGAAACCACAUCUCUGUGAGUUUUCUCCAUAUGUCAAACCCAGGUAAGGUUCUUCGCGUUGCAUCGAAUUAAUCCGCAUGCUCCGCCGCUUGUGCGGGCCCCCGUCAAUUCCUUUGAGUUUUAGCCUUGCGGCCGUACUCCCCAGGCGGGGCACUUAAUGCGUUAGCUUCGGCACGGAAGGAGUCGACACCUCCCACACCUAGUGCCCAUCGUUUACAGCGUGGACUAC